Molecule: long non-coding RNA, 3868 nt
Filed under: Anolis carolinensis (green anole)
Lineage: Eukaryota; Metazoa; Chordata; Lepidosauria; Squamata; Anolidae
Description: lncRNA (ENSACAG00000036097.1)
Source: RNAcentral
CAUUCUUCCCACCAUAGAAACCCCUGCCUGGAGGCAGUGAUAUCAACAGAGUUCUCAGCCAAUCCUGCUGCGUGUCCUGGCCAGCCUCUUUUCCAGCCAAUCAGGGGAGUGAGCAAGAGGUUUGGCUAGCUGUCAGAACAGUAUAAGAUGUAUUGCCCUUUUCUGUAUGUUUAUGCUUGUACCUUUUGAAGCAAAUUGCUCAUACUUGCAUCAUUUUUGGCCAAAUUGUAAUAAACCUCUGUGUCUUGUCUUUAACCUGGUGAGUUUGUUUCUCUGUCUUGGCCUAUCUGGUUUAGCUUAUGCUCACUGGGCACUCACUCUUUAACUACAGUUCUGGCUGAAAUCACUACAAUGUUACUUAGAAUUUCUAAGAACUGUGGUCCAAAACAGUAGCUUUUUCAAGAUGAUAUGAAUAUCAGCUGAACUGUAAAAUUCAACAUCUACUGAGUGUACACUGAAGGUUAACAAUGAGAAUAACUAGAACUCCAAGGAUGGGCAAAGAGUAAAGCAGAAUCUACUGGUGUAUCUUCAGGUGAUUUUCAGCAGACCAAAGCUGUUUAACUCACAAUGGUUUACAAGUACUAAUACAAACAUUCUUCACCCACCCACCCCCCAGUAUUAGGCUUUUGAAAUCAAGAAAGCUUGAACCAUUUUUGUGUGAAAUCUUUUUAUUAUUAUUAUUAUUAUUUUGCCAUUUUAUUCUGUUGAUUGUCAUUAUUUUACUUGUGUGAGACCACAGAAUUCUAAUGAUAGACAAAGAUCAGAAGAAUCUGAAGACUCCUCAGUCCUCACCUCUGCAUUAGGCAUUCUGAACCUGACAAAACUGGUGGUAAUUACAUCAAAACUAUUUUUUUUCUUCCACAUCUCAUUAAUCUAUAUAUAUAAAAGGAUAAAGUUGCGGGCGCAGUGACUAUAACAACAAAACUAAACAUCCCAGAAAUACGAAAUUUGGCAACACAAUGCAAAAGGCUUGCCUCCAGGUUACAACAACACAACCACACCACAAAACCACAAUCCAGACCCACAACACUCACAACAACGCAUCAUGCGAUAACAACACAACUAAACGCCCCAGAAAUACAAAACUUGGCAACACAAUGCAAAAGCCUUGCCUCCCAGUUGUAACAACACAACCACACCACAAAACCACACAGGACCCACAAAACUCACAACAAUGCAUUGUGACUAUAACAAAUACAAAAUUUGACAACACAACGCAAAAGCCUUGCCUCCCAGUUGUAAGAACACAACCACAACACAAAACCACAAUCCGGACCCACAAAACUCACAACAACGCAUCAUGACUAUAACAACACAACUAAACGCCCCAGAAAUACAAAACUUGGCAAAACAAUGCAAAAGCCUUGCCUCCCGGUUGUAACAACACAACCACACCACAAAACCACACCGGACCCACAAAACUCACAACAAUGCAUCGUGACUAUAACAACACAACUAAACGCCCCAGAAAUACAAAACUUGGCACACAACUAAACGACCCAGAAAUACAAAACUUCGCAACACAACACAAAAGCCUUGCCUCUCAGUUGUAACAACACAACCACACCACAAAACCACAAUCCAGACCCACAAAACUCACAACAACGCAUUGUGACUAUAACAAAUACAACAUUUGACAACACGACUCAUCCACCUCCCCAAUCCCUACAUUCACACUUGGCCUCCAAAAAAACAAUUACAAUAAUAACAAUGACAACAACAACAACAAUAAGAAUCAACACCAUCACAGACAAGAAACAGCCAGGCACUGAGGCUGAGAGGCCAGUCAGUGCUAAACUGGCCCUCCAAAAAACAAUACAGUAGCAUCUAACUUAUCCAACCUUCAUAAUCACUACAACAACAAUAAUAAUAAACACCUACACAGGCAAAACAAAAUAAAAGACUAUUGUACCACAAUAAAAAUAUAAACCGCACUCAGCAGAAUCAGACAUUACAAUUAACAACAAACCAAAGACAACAGGGAUCUCAAGCAAUUAUCAAUCAACACAAAAAUUGAAGAAGGUAACAGACUUCAAAUACUACUACUAAUGUGAGUAUAAAGAAGGGUGGAGGUCACAGCAUCAAUACAACCUAAUGUAGACUGACCAACACCACCAGACUAAGCCACAGCAACGCGUGGCCGGGCACAGCUAGUUUUAUAUAAAAUGCAACACUGUAAAAAAGCUUUUUUCAUACUGGAGGAAACCUUUCUCAACUGUAAAGAUCACCAAAGGCCAGGGAAAAUGCAGAUGGAGCAAAUUAAAGAAUCCCUUGCAGAUUAUAAGGGUGUGCUCUGCAUUAUCCGUCGGUGCUCUUUGCAAGGAACCAAAUCCUUCCUGAGGGCAAAGCAGGCCUUGGCUGUAAAAAGGCUCUUUCAGUUUGUUUUUGAACUUUGGCUACAGAAAACCUGGUUCGCUUUAAUGUGAAAUCUCAGCUUCAAGGAAGACUUUUCCUGUCAACGUCAUACAGCUAAGAACUGAGGGAUGUCUUGUUGCCACAGUUACUUUAAUCUUCUGCCGCUGGGUGCAUUAGUUGCCAGCACAGCUGCUUUAUCUGACUUUUACCACAAAAUAUUUUAUACUAUGUAUCCAUGUGAGGAAAAAGAAGAAUAAAAUAAAAGAAUUAAAAGGCCACCACCAAUAUCCUACAUCUCCUUUUUAGUUACACAUUCAUAACUAAAGUAACAUCAUCUGGCCCACUCCAACCCCCAAACUUACCUUAACAGCCAGCAGCCACAGCAAGGGAUGGAGAUAAGAAUUGGGGUUCAUGAGAAGGAUGUUAUGGCCCCCUCUUACCAAUGAAUAAGACUGCAAUAAAGUAUUGUGACAGGAGGCCUGUUUCUGAUUGUCACACCAGAGAUAGCCAGUGAGAGAGAGCUGGAAAUGUCAUCCUCCUGCACUUCAAUCAGCAGCAGCAUAGAUUUCUAUCACUGCUAGUUAUGAUAGUGGCAAUAGUAUAAUUGUGAAUACAUUGACUGAAUAUGGAGCAAGCUUAUACAUUUGUAAUAGCAAUAGAUGAGUCCAGUGUCCCUGGUGUCUUGUGGCUCCCCUUGUCAAUGGGGCACUGAAUCCAUUGCAGUAUUUUUAUCUACUAAAGAACCCUUUCUCUCAGAAAUAGAUUCAAUAUCUCGAUUAGCUCCCUUAUAAUUGAAACUAGAAGAGCAGAUUUACUUGCCCUCAUUGACACAGAGGCCACUACCUACUACUGAUAACUACAGGUUGAGCUUCCCUUAUCCAAAAUGAUUAGGACAUGAAAUUUUUAGAUUUCAGAUUUAUUUAUUUUUUGUAUACUGGAAUACUUUUAUUUGCAUAUAUGGGAUAUCUUGGAGAUGGGGCCCAAGUCUAAAGACAAAAUUCAUUUAUCUUUCAUAUAUACCUUAUAUACAUAGCUAAAGGUAAUUUUAUACAAUACUAGCUGUGCCCGGCCACGCGUUGCUGUGGCUAGUCAGACCACAGGGAUCUUUUGCUGUGUGUAUGUGUUUUCAAGUCAUCUGUUGACUUAUGGCAACCCCAUUAAUUUCAUAGGGUUUUCUUAGGCAAGAAAUAUCCAGAAGAAGUUCUGCCAGUUCCUGCCUCUGAAAUAUAGCUGUGUACCGCAAUGUCAUGUGUAAUCUUUCAAAUGCUUAUGAGACCAAGGUGUCUGCUGCUCUCCAAGGUCCUGUACCUCAAUUCUUAUAUUUGGCUCAGCCACUGAUGCACGGCACACCUAUUUGACCUAUGCAUUUCAGCUUGGAACAUCUUACAAGGUUGUCAUAAGGACUGCAAGAAGAUUGUGCACAUGUAAUGCUUUGCAAGUAUGAUAUAAAUGCUAACCAUUAUUCCAGCUCACAAAGCACACAAUAAAGCUAUCAGCUUCCUACUCUGACCUG